Molecule: ribosomal RNA, 440 nt
Filed under: uncultured bacterium
Lineage: Bacteria
Description: partial 16S ribosomal RNA
Rfam family: Bacterial small subunit ribosomal RNA
Source: RNAcentral
CCUACGGGUGGCAGCAGUGGGGAAUAUUGCACAAUGGGGGAAACCCUGAUGCAGCGACGCCGCGUGAGUGAAGAAGUAUUUCGGUAUGUAAAGCUCUAUCAGCAGGGAAGAAAAUGACGGUACCUGACUAAGAAGCCCCGGCUAACUACGUGCCAGCAGCCGCGGUAAUACGUAGGGGGCAAGCGUUAUCCGGAUUUACUGGGUGUAAAGGGAGCGUAGACGGCUGCCCAAGUCUGGAGUGAAAUGCCGGGGCUUAACCCCGGAACUGCUUUGGAAACUGUGCAGCUAGAGUGCAGGAGAGGUAAGUGGAAUUCCUCGUGUAGCGGUGAAAUGCGUAGAUAUUAGGCGGAACACCAGCGGCGAAGGCGGCUUACUGGACUGUAACUGACGUUGAGGCUCGAAAGCGUGGGGAGCAAACAGGAUUAGAUACCCGAGUAGUC